This 830-nucleotide long non-coding RNA is filed under the name Helianthus annuus (common sunflower). Lineage: Eukaryota; Viridiplantae; Streptophyta; Magnoliopsida; Asterales; Asteraceae. The record is from RNAcentral.
AAGUCAUUUCCGCACGAGCAAUUGCAAAGUCUCACUUGGUUGGAAGAAAUGAGGAUAAGUAAUUGUCCAAGGAUGGACUACCCAUUUCCUUGUGGUUUAUGGCCACCUAAUCUAAGUACAUUAUUUAUAGGAGGCUUAAAGAAACCCAUAUCGGAAUGGGGGCAACAAAAUUUCCCAACCUCACUUGUUACACUAAUCUUAUACGGCAAAAAUUCAGGAGUGGUUUCCUUUGCAAAGGUGGAAGAUAUGAGGAAUAGCAGCAAUACCACUUCACCAUCUUUUUUUCUUCCUCCAUCGCUAACUUAUCUAUAUAUCCGUGAUUUUACGGACCUGGAAUCACUUUCAAAGGGCCUGCAACACCUCACUUGCCUGGAAGAACUUGUUAUUGUGUCAUGCCCCAAGCUUAGAGAUCUUCCCGUGACACUACUCCCUUCACUCUCACGUUUGUCGGUGGAUUCUUCAUCCCCAGAACUAAGAAAAAAGUGUCAUAGAAAUGGAAAGUACUGGCACAUCAUCUCCCAGAUCCCUGAUCAUCAGCUAUAUUGAUCACAUGUCUGAAAUUGGUCUUAACACUGUCCUAAAACGAUUUUGCUUGGAGGGCAUGGCCAAAGAGGGCGGAGGUUUAUAAGAUGACAAAAGCUCCAAAUCUAAGCUCAUGACUAUGAAGGAUUGAAGGGCCACUCCAAUACCAAGAUAAACCAGGAAUGAUAUUUGUAUAUUGAUUGUGCGUAAUGUCACAGUUGUCUCUGUCUAGAUACGAUAAUGACAUAACUUGUCUAGUAUCCAAUGUCACCAUUUUCCAGUCUCUUUCUUUCAUAUAUCUGAUUCUA